This 477-nucleotide ribosomal RNA is filed under the name Salmonella enterica subsp. enterica serovar Bredeney. RNAcentral's name for it is "partial 23S ribosomal RNA". It matches the Rfam family "Bacterial large subunit ribosomal RNA", at positions 1301 to 1773 of the family's 2925-position model. Lineage: Bacteria; Pseudomonadati; Pseudomonadota; Gammaproteobacteria; Enterobacterales; Enterobacteriaceae. The record is from RNAcentral. RNAcentral also lists the same sequence under 1 other name.
CAUAAGUAACGAUAAAGCGGGUGAAAAGCCCGCUCGCCGGAAGACCAAGGGUUCCUGUCCAACGUUAAUCGGGGCAGGGUGAGUCGACCCCUAAGGCGAGGCCGAAAGGCGUAGUCGAUGGGAAACGGGUUAAUAUUCCCGUACUUGGUGUUACUGCGAAGGGGGGACGGAGAAGGCUAUGUUGGCCGGGCGACGGUUGUCCCGGUUUAAGCGUGUAGGUGUGUGUUCCAGGUAAAUCCGGUUCACUUUAACACUGAGGCGUGAUGACGAGGCACUACGGUGCUGAAGCAACAAAUGCCCUGCUUCCAGGAAAAGCCUCUAAGCAUCAGGUAACAUCAAAUCGUACCCCAAACCGACACAGGUGGUCAGGUAGAGAAUACCAAGGCGCUUGAGAGAACUCGGGUGAAGGAACUAGGCAAAAUGGUGCCGUAACUUCGGGAGAAGGCACGCUGACACGUAGGUGAAGUGAUUUACUCA